GCAAAUUAUGGAAGUGGGAAAUAAAAGGAAGGAGCGAGGAGGAGCAUCUCGUCUUGUUUCGAGGGUUCUCUUGGGAGGAUAAAGGUUGGGGACGAGCAGUAUUUCUGCCUGGGGUUGGGUUUUUGUUGGCCAAUUUCUCUUUCCUUUCGGUUCACGAUUCAUCUCUGUUAGUUGCUGUCGAUCCACGAGCGGAAUCGGAAUGGUUGUUUCGAUCGGGAGGAAUUGAUGUGCUUGUUGGUCGGUAGGGGUUUUAUUUGAUCAGGUUUGGUGCUUUCUAUUGAUCGUUUGUGGAGUCGAGGGUUUGUGGGUUUGUGGUUUGCUUGCUUUGGUAGAUGGACGAGGCCUGGGAGAGGGCCGUGGAGGCGGCGCUAGGAGGUCAGACGAACUCCUCUUCGACGGCGCCGCCGCCGCGGAGCCUUACGCUGGACGGCUCCGUGAAGUGUCUCCACGGCCGGCUACCGCCGCCGGAGAUUCUGGAGAGGUACCAGUCGCUGGAGCACCUCUCAAUCGCUAACGUCGGAGUGUCCUCGCUGGAGAAGUUCCCGCGACUGCGGAAUCUGCAGCGGCUCAUUCUUUCCGACAACCGUAUAGCUGGCGGGCUCGAGUUUUUGGUGGAGUCGGGGCUCGAGUCACUUCGGGAUCUCGAUCUAUCCAACAACCGGAUCCAGUUCCUGGAGGACUUGGCGCCUCUGGCUCAGCUCCGGCUCGUUUCCUUGGACCUCUAUGAAUGCCCUGUCACGAGGAUCAAGGAUUACCGAUCAAGGGUAUUCGGAAUGAUCCGGACUCUGAGAUAUCUUGAUAAGAUGGAUGCCGAUGAGAAUGAGCGACCGGAGUCUGAUGACGAAGAAGAGGAGGAAGACGAAGAAGAUGAGGAUGAGGAAGAGGAUCCUGGGAGCGGCGAGGUCGAUGCUGAUGAUCGAGCUGGGAAAUUAAUGAAUGGUGUCGGUACCGGUGGAGUGGGUGGGAUUGUUGAUGUUUACGAGGAAGAGGAGAGUGAUGCUGAAGAGGAGACUGAGACUGCUAGGAGGAUCGAUGCCAAUGGUGGGGAGCGGAGGUAUAAUGCAUGUAAUGGAUUUCGGGUGGCCCCAGUCAUGGCAGCUGAUGGAGGAGAGGAUGAGGAGGAAGAGGAUGAUGACAUCGAGGAUGAUGAUGAAGAUGAAGACAUUGAUGAUGAUUUGGGGGAGGAGAUUGAUGCGGAGGAAAGGGACGAGGACGAUGUGGUUGAGGUGCAUGAUGUUGGGGACAGUGAAGAAGAGGUGGACGGGGUUGAAGAGGAGGGUGAAGAAGAGGUGGAUGGGGUUGAAGAGGAGGGUGAAGAAGAGGUGGACGACGAGGAUGAAGAUGGGGAUGGGGAUGAAGACCAGGAAGAUGUUGAGGAUGAAGAGGACGAUGGUGAACCUGGAAGCUCAGGCAGAUUGAUGAGUGCAGAAGGGGAGAUUGAUGGCCACGAACAAGGCGAAGGGGAUGAGGAUGAGAAUGGAGAGAUCGGGGAGGAGGACGAGCAAGGAGUGAAUGAAGAUAGAUAUUCUGCAGAAGGUGAUGAUGAUGGCGAAGAUGAGGAUGAGGAUGAUGAUAAUGAUGGGGAAUAUCUUGUGCAGCCGAUUGCUCAACCUGCCACAGCAAGAGUUGAUUUUGAUGCUUGCAACCAAGAAGAUGAAGAUGAGGUUGACGAUGAUGAAGAUGAUCUUCACAGCAACAUUGCCUUGCAGCAGCAGCCUUCUUCCGCUUCCAAUCCCAACAAGAGGAGGAGAGGGGAAGAAGACGACCUGGAUGACGACAGUGUUGAAGACCUGAGGCGCUCCAAGCAUCCUUGAUGAUGAUUCACCAGCAGCCUCGUAGGACAUGUGGCCAGAGUUUUUUCCCUCCAAAACCAAGCACCAAGUUCAAAUGCGAGAGACAUUUGGUCGUUCUUUGGUAUAUGGCUGGGAGUACCAGCUCGAUCUCAACUCGUUUCUCGUUUAUUUCAUCGAACACCUUGUGUGCGCGUGAUGUGUUGUCAUAUGCUUUGUUAGCAGGCGUCGCUGCAGUACGGUUGCGUCGGGCGAGUUGGGAUGAACCUACCUGCAUCAGCGCCCGCAGCAACAAGUUGGUCUUCACAUCGAGUCUGCCUUGGGCGCGGUCGUGUUCAUUUACAUUCAACCAAACUCACCCGGAAGAAGAUGAGCGGUCAGGCUCCACGAACACGGCGCAGGGAAGCGACCUGCGCCUCCCGCCAGCUUCCGGUGCCCUGCUUCGCUCUCCUAACUGCUCCGUGCUAGGCCAAGGACACCGGGGGCAGCGGAGCUGGUUCGACUGCUCUCGCGCCCAGUGAUUGGUAUCUCCCUACACACGCCGCAGACCACGGGCUGCGACCUACCGCCGUGCCCGGCCGGUCGUUCGGGGCGCGGAGGGGUGGAACUACUACCUGUUGGCGGCCAGCAUCGUGCGGUGGUCGCUCUACAUCAAGGCCAAGAAUUCGUCGGGGCCGCCGGCGGGGCCCUACGGGCUACUCGACGCCGCCCUCGCCAUCGUCGCCGUCUUUGGCCCGCAGUGCUUUGUUUGAGCUUUCCAUCUCUUCUCUUUACAAAGCCAUCAUCUCAUCGUUAUUUUAUAUGUUCGAGUAGAAGUCAAAUCAUAUAGUCACUUCGUUA
Molecule: RNA transcript, 2630 nt
Organism: Musa acuminata AAA Group (dessert banana)
Lineage: Eukaryota; Viridiplantae; Streptophyta; Magnoliopsida; Zingiberales; Musaceae
Gene name: acidic leucine-rich nuclear phosphoprotein 32-related protein 1
Exons: 4
Source: RefSeq, a predicted model, not a curated record